AUUGAACGCUGGCGGCAUGCCUUACACAUGCAAGUCGAACGGCAGCACGGGAGCAAUCCUGGUGGCGAGUGGCGAACGGGUGAGUAAAGUAUCGGAACGUGCCCAGUCGUGGGGGAUAACGUAGCGAAAGUUACGCUAAUACCGCAUACGAUCUAUGAAUGAAAGCGGGGAUCGCAAGACCUCGCGCGAUUGGAGCGGCCGAUAUCAGAUUAGGUAGUUGGUGGGGUAAAGGCUAACCAAGCCGACGAUAUGUAGCUGGUCUGAGAGGACGACCAGCCACACUGGGACUGAGACACGGCCCAGACUCCUACGGGAGGCAGCAGUGGGGAAUUUUGGACAAUGGGCGAAAGCCUGAUCCAGCCAUGCCGCGUGCAGGAUGAAGGCCUUCGGGUUGUAAACUGCUUUUGUACGGAACGAAAAGGUUUGGGCUAAUAAGCUGAGCUCAUGACGGUACCGUAAGAAUAAGCACCGGCUAACUACGUGCCAGCCGCCGCAGUAA
RNAcentral lists this ribosomal RNA (499 nucleotides) under uncultured bacterium. RNAcentral describes it as "partial 16S ribosomal RNA". It matches the Rfam family "Bacterial small subunit ribosomal RNA", at positions 30 to 523 of the family's 1533-position model. The record is from RNAcentral.